Trachemys scripta elegans is the source of this 72-nucleotide non-coding RNA. NCBI's taxonomy places the organism in Eukaryota, Metazoa, Chordata, Testudines, Emydidae. The record is from the annotation of a RefSeq genome assembly.
GGGGGUACAGCUCAGUGGUAGAGUGUUUGACUGCAGAUCAACUGGUCCUUGUUUCAAAUCCAAGUGUCCCCU